This 514-nucleotide long non-coding RNA is filed under the name Homo sapiens (human). RNAcentral describes it as "HSALNT0083083". The record is from RNAcentral. Lineage: Eukaryota; Metazoa; Chordata; Mammalia; Primates; Hominidae.
AGAGACUACGGCAUUUGGGGAAGGGCCAUUUUGUCAUUGACUGGAACUUUCUCAAGAAAGCAUUUUCCACUUGCGUUUCCAUGGAGGUCGGCUUUGCUGGAAACCACAGGACCCUGCCCUCCACCAGACACACAGUGUGCAGAGGCGUGUACCCGAAAAGCAAAGUGCGGCCUCACACGGUUCUUUAAUCUGGAGCCGGACUCCUGGGAAACAAACCAAACAGACGCAGGUAAGGUCGGACGUCCCUCUGCUGGCCCAUCUCCUGCGCCACACCCACCAUUCCCUUCUCACCCCCUGAAGCUCCCUCGUCCUCACAAAAGCAGCAGGGCCACUUAUGCGCCGUCCUGUUUUUCUGGACACCAUGACCAGGAUGGGACAGGACUCGUGAACCCACACGUGAGAUCACACUAAGAUCCUAAAGGCUUUGCGCUUCUCCAGAGCGGCUGCUGUCUCAUGCACACCCGGCCUGGUGUGCCCGCCCCACCCAGUGUGCCCAUCCUGCCCAGUGAGUGUC